CUGUCCGGCCCUCGAUGCANCGAGCUUUUUACGGCACGCAUGGAAGUGGUCUGGUCGGCCCGGUCUGANCCAUUAUUUUUCACGGUUGACCUCGGAUCAGGUAGGAGUACCCGCUGAACUUAAGCAUAUCAAUAAGCGGAGGAAAAGAAACCAACAGGGAUUACCCCAGUAACGGCGAGUGAAGCGGUAACAGCUCAAAUUUGAAAUCUGGCCUUGACCGGUCCGAGUUGUAAUUUGUAGAGGAUGNNCGGGCAAGGCUCUGGUUUAAAUUUCUUGGAACAGAAUGUCAUAGAGGGUGAGAGUCCCGUCUAGAACCAGGGGCCGCGUCCAUGUGAAACUCCUUCGACGAGUCGAGUUGUUUGGGAAUGCAGCUCAAAAUGGGUGGUAAAUUCCAUCUAAAGCUAAAUAUUGGCCAGAGACCGAUAGCGCACAAGUAGAGUGAUCGAAAGAUGAAAAGUACUUUGAAAAGAGAGUUAAACAGUAUGUGAAAUUGUUGAAAGGGAAGCGCUUGCAACCAGACUUGCGUGUGACGGUUCCCCCGGUCUUCUGACCGGGCUACUCCGUCAUGUCCAGGCCAGCAUCGGUUCGGGUGGUUGGUUAAAGGCCCCGGGAAUGUAUCUACCUCCGGGUCGACUUAUAGCCCGGGGUGUAAUGCGGCCUACCUGGACCGAGGAACGCGCUCUUGCUCGGAUGCUGGCGUAAUGGUUGUAAGCGGCC
RNAcentral lists this ribosomal RNA (717 nucleotides) under uncultured fungus. RNAcentral's name for it is "eukaryotic LSU rRNA". The stretch from base 87 to 717 matches the Rfam family "Eukaryotic large subunit ribosomal RNA", at positions 1 to 649 of the family's 3401-position model. The record is from RNAcentral. Lineage: Eukaryota; Fungi.